RNAcentral lists this unclassified non-coding RNA (678 nucleotides) under Hevea brasiliensis (rubber tree). The record is from RNAcentral. Lineage: Eukaryota; Viridiplantae; Streptophyta; Magnoliopsida; Malpighiales; Euphorbiaceae.
UUCAGGAUCUAAACUGUAAGACAGAGUUUCUCUUUUUCAAAUGUAAUAAUUCUCAAAGUCUAGUAGACAGCAUUUAAUUGAAAAGGACAUUUUAUUGUUACAGAUACAUUCACAAAUUGCUAACUGCUUAUUAAGGAGGAUUUACAUAUCCAUAGACUGCAAAAAAAGCUUGAAUAAAGGUGAGAAUGAGGAUAAUGAGAGCAGCUAUAGCAGAUAUGAAUGUCCAAGGGCUAUCAAAAUAUUUGUGCUUGCACCCUGCCCAUCUACCAUGCCAAACGUUUCCAUAAUGGUCAUUCACAUCCUCGAACAGCUUUGCUAGAUAACUCUGCCUAAUAUCAAAACAAAUGUCCUUGCCUACAUCAUUGAAGAAUUUAACAACUUCUGUAUCAGUUCCCAAGGAAUUCCCAAUAAUUUGGUGGUCUCGCAAGUACCCUGCAUCCACAGGUGUGUUGAUGAGGCAACCCAUGAAAAUAACAUACGAUGUAAAGUGGGUUGAACAAUGCUUAUAACAUUGUUCUAAUGCCACACAAUUCGAUAUGAGGGAGCUAAUGGAGUCAUCUAUUGCCAAAUGUGGGAUUUCCAGUACUCCAUGAUCACGUCUAAAUUUAAUGUCCAAGAAGCUCUCAGUAGCAGUCCUACUGCUUUGCUUGAACUUGAUCCCAGAUGCACGGAGCUUCU